RNAcentral lists this long non-coding RNA (1554 nucleotides) under Marmota monax (woodchuck). The record is from RNAcentral. Lineage: Eukaryota; Metazoa; Chordata; Mammalia; Rodentia; Sciuridae.
UUAUAAAUGACUCCAUGAUAGAUGGUUUUAUUAUGCGUAUAGCUAGUGUUCAGUAAAAUGUAUAAGUAUGUUUUCUCUGUAUCCUUUUUAAAUGAAUGAAUGGGUGAUAUAUGCCUAUUUAUCCCUACUGGGUGCCUGCAAAUCCUAUAGAUAAUGAUUAUGCAAAGUGAUUAGUAUUUAGGGAGAAGCAACAUAAACUAUAGGUUAAUGUCCAGCAUCCUUUCUGUGGCCAGAUUUCUUUAAGUUUGAAAUUAUGAUCUACCACAUCCCAGCUCUGUGACAUUGGGCAAAUUAGUAAACCUCUUUGCCUCUGCUUCCCUUUCUGUAAAAUAUGGAUAGAUAAUAGUAUCUACCUCAUAAGAUAAUUGUUCAAAAUGAGCAAUUUAAUGUAAGUAAAAUACAAUGCCUUUCAUGUAUUUAGCGACAUAAAAGACUUAACUAAUUUUUACAAUGAUUUUAAAGUCAGUGGUAUUUCCCUCAUUUGAGUAAUUAAGAGAGAUUAACAGACUGGUCCAUUAUUGUUUAGUAAACAUGCCAGUAUUAAAACCAGAUAGUACUAACCUCACUUCUCCUCCAAAUUCGGCCCUACUUUUCCCCUCCAGGUUAAUUAUAUCUCUCUACAUCUUGUCACUCAAGCCUGAAACCUUGGACUCACCCUUGACAUUCCCUGCUCCCCGACCUAGCUAAUUACUAAGCAGGCUUUGGCUAUUCACACACUUUCUAAAUGUCUCCCUUUCCCCACUAAAUAUUUCCAAAAUAUUUUCUGAUGUCUUCCUCCAAUAGCCACUUAUUAAUUCAAAUAAUCAAAUUUCCUGUCUAGGUUACUUCAUUAGGUUUCUCCUGGCCUUUUCUUCAAUCAAAUGUCCAUGACACCAGAGUCACCUCCUAAAUGCAAGUUUUAUCACACUCCCUCUUUAAAAUUCUUGUGUGGUCCUACAUUGCUUUUGAUGAAUUCCUGAGAAUAAGUUUCUAAUUACUCAAGGCAAUUUGGCAUAUUCUGUGUUACAUUUGGCUUCUGAAGUCAUUUGUGCUCCUCUUUCCAAUGAUUUGUCUUAUUUUUCGUGACCUCGUAUAUUAUACCAAAGUCUUGCCCAAGUACAUGUUCUUAUGCUUUCUUAAGGGUCUCUAUUUGGUGAAAUGCCCAUAAGCCCUUAUAUACUCUCUCAUGCUCCAAACCUCGACCUGUGUUCUAUGGUCCUCAAGUAAGCCAUCACUUCCUGCACCAACUGCCUCUUAGCACCCUUCUCCAACCCAGCAUCCCCUCUUAACACCUGGGGGUAGAUGUCUCACUGUCAUAUUAUCAUAUUGUCUCUUUAUGAGUCUGCCCUUCUGUCAUGCAGAUAUCAGAUUUUUGUUUUGUUAAUCCUCACAUUUUAUCCCAAUUAAAGGUCCAGAAUACUUAGGAAACUUGUUACAAGGGCUAUGGAUUAAUGAAAUAGUUGCCAAUGUCACUAGGGGUAUAAAAGCAUAAAUGAAAACUCUGAUUAAAGUUAUGAUAAGAAAAUAAUUUCAAGUAUAAUCUGCACAUUUCACUAAGAAGAAAGAAUUUGAAAG